CUCUCUCUCUCUCUCUCUCUCUCUCUCUCUCGGCCUCCCAGGGUUGGCCACGGACACCCACAUCGCUCCGUCGGAUGAUUUUUACUUGACAAAUUACCUCGUUUAUUUUUUCUCCGUCGUGUUGGUCGCCUUUCUGUGUGUCCUGUCGCCGCCGCCGCCGCCGCCGCCACCCAGUUCUCGCAAUAAAAUACGACAGCCAAUCAAGAGGCGUCAAUUCACCGCCAAUCUUCCCUGCAGGCCAAUGGGAAGCUGCCACGUCACCAGGUUAUCAUAACGGCGGCCAAUCAGGUGCCGGGGACGAGCAGUGGUGUUGAUAGUGGUGAUGGUCACGAGAAACACUCACACGUCUGUUCAUUUUUUCCCCCCACGUUGCCUAUUAGUGCGUCGUGUGUUGUCAUCGCCGUCACCACCUGCUCUUCCCUCCCGCGACGCCCUUCACCUGCGUGCGAUCACCUGUCACGCCGCCGCGCCCUCCUGACUGACGCCUCCAGUCCUCCCGGCGUGACACCUGUGACAUCAGCCUCGCCGGGACCCUUCCACAGGUCGUCCAUCCAGUAAUUACCUGCCGCCUUCCGCCCCCAAGACUGUGAAUCAAACAAAAACAAACAGGAAAAGUCAGUGUAUCAGAAGCUGUGAGGAGUGACAACAGGAGUAUGAAUGUCAACAGGAUGUGAAUAAGAGCUGAAAGGAAUAAAUUGUUUGUUCUAACCU
Molecule: long non-coding RNA, 711 nt
Organism: Portunus trituberculatus (swimming crab)
Lineage: Eukaryota; Metazoa; Arthropoda; Malacostraca; Decapoda; Portunidae
Exons: 2
Source: RefSeq, a predicted model, not a curated record